Molecule: long non-coding RNA, 2559 nt
Filed under: Malus domestica (apple)
Lineage: Eukaryota; Viridiplantae; Streptophyta; Magnoliopsida; Rosales; Rosaceae
Description: long non-coding RNA (MDOM_LNC001632)
Source: RNAcentral
UAUAUAUAUAUACACCAUUGAACUUGAUGGGAUACACGAAACUAAUUUCAACGAUCCAACCGUUAAACUUGUUUGUAUAUGCUUAAGGAUCUGAUCAGCAACAAAUCACAAAAAAAAAAAAAAAACACUCAGAGAUAAAGUAACGAGACAAAACUUUUCGACGGUUAUAAAACAAAAAAUCACGAUUUAACAGUUAUUUUAACUCCGAUUUUGAUUAUUUUUUACAGCUACACUCGUUGACCCUAUAUGAAUACAACGAAUAAAUUUGAUUUUCAAUUUAAAAUAUUUACACUAGUGGAUACCACAAAAUCUUAUGUUAUACUUAAUGAAAGUAUAAAUAAACUCUUAAGUGUUAGUGAAUCCAUCGUUUUGAUGGGAUACGAAUUCUAUGAAACUAAUUUCAACGAUCUAAGCGUCAAACUUGUUUGUAUAUGCUUCGAGAUCGCAUACGCCAAAAAUCACAAAAAACAAACAUUCAGAGAUCAAGUAAUCAGACAAAACUUUUCGACGGUUAUAAAACAACAAAUCAUGAUUUAACGGUUAUUUUAACUCCGAUUUUGAUGAUUUUUUUCAACUACACUCCUUGACCCUAUACGAAUACAAUGAAUGAAUUUGAUCGUCUUUAAAAUAUUUACACAAGUUGAUACCACAAAAUCUUAUGUUAUACUUAAUGAAAGUAUAAAUAAACUCUGAGUGUUAGUGAAUCUAUUAAUUUGAUGGAAUACGAAUUCUAUGAAACUAAUUUUAACGAUCUAACCGUCAAACUUGUAUAUGUUUCGAGAUCGCAUACGCCAAAAAUCACAAAAAGCAAACAUUCAGAGAUCAAGUAAUGAGACAAAAAAUUUCGACGGUUAUAAAACAAAAAAUCACGAUUUAACGGUUAUUUUAACUUCGAUUUUGAUGAUUUUUUACAACUACACUCCUUGACCCUACGCGAAUACAAUGAAUGAAUUUGAUCGUCAAUUUAAAAUUACACAAGUGGAUACCACAAAAUCUUAUGUUAUACUUAAUGAAAGUAUAAAUAAACUAUGAGUGUUAGUGAAUCUAUUAAUUUGAUGGAAUAUGAAUUCUAUGAAACUAAUUUUAACGAUCCAACCAUCACACUUGUAUAUGUUUUGAGAUCGCACACGCCAAAAAUCACAAAAAGCAAACAUUCAGAGAUCAAGUAAUGAGACAAACUUUUCGACGGUUAUAAAACAAAAAAUCACGAUUUAACGGUUAUUUUAACUCCGAUUUUGAUAAUUUUUUACAACUACACUCCUUGACCUUAUACGAAUACAAUGAAUGAAUUUGAUCGUCAAUUUAAAAUAUUUACAUAAGUGGAUACCACAAAAUCUUAUGUUAUACUUAAUGAAAGUAUAAAUAAGCUCUAAGUGUAAGUGAAUCUAUUGUUUUGAUGGGAUACGAAUUCUAUGAAACUAAUUUUAACGAUCCAACCGUCAAACUUGUUUGUGUAUGCUUCGAGAUCGCAUACACUAAAAAUCACAAAAAACAAACAUUCAGAGAUCAAGUAAUGGGAUAAAACUUUUCGACGGUUAUAAAAUAAAAAAUCAUGAUUUAACGGUUAUUUUAACUCCGAUUUUGAUGAUUUUUACAAAUACACUCCUUGACACUAUACGAAUACAAUGAAUGAAUUUGAUCGUCAAUUUAAAAUAUUUACACAAGUUGAUACCACAAAAUCUUAUGUUAUACUUAAUGAAAGUAUAAAUAAACUCUAAGUGUUAGUGAAUCUAUUGUUUUGAUGGAAUACGAAUUCUAUGAAACUAAUUUUAACGAUCCUACCGUCAAACUUGUUUGUAUAUACUUCGAGAUCGUAUACGCCAAAAAUCACAAAAAACAAACAUUUAGAGAUCAAGUAAUGAGACAAAACGUUUCGACGGUUGUAAAACAAAAAAUCACGAUUUAACGGUUAUUUUAACUCCGAUUUUGAUGAUUUUUUACAACUACACUCCUUGACCCUAUACGAAUACAGUGAAUGAAUUUGAUCAUCAAUUUAAAAUAUUUACACAAGUGGAUACCAUAAAAUCUUAUGUUAUACUUAAUGAAAGUAUAAAUAAAUUGUAAGUGUUAGUGAAUCUGUUCUUUUUAUGGGAUACGAAUUCUAUGAAACUAAUUUUAACGAUCCAACCGUCAAACUUGUUUGUGUAUACUUCGAGAUCGUAUACGCCAAAAAUCACAAAAAAACAAACAUUCAGAGAUCAAAUAAUGAGACAAAACUUUUCGACGGUUAUAAAACAAAAAAUCACGAUUUAACGGUUAUUUUAACUCCGAUUUUGAUGAUUUUUUACAACUACACUCCUUGAUCCUAUGCGAAUCCAAUGAAUGAAUUUGAUCGUCAAUUUAAAAUUACAGAAGUGGAUACCACAAAAUCUUAUGUUAUACUUAAUGAAAGUAUAAAUAAACUCUAAGUGUUAGUGAAUCUAUUGUUUUGAUGGGAUACGAAUUCUAUGAAACUAAUUUUAACGAUCCAACCGUCAAACUUAUUUGUAUAUACUUCGAGAUCGUAGACGCCAAAAAAAAAAAAAAAACAUUCAGAGAUCAAGUAAUGAGACAAAACUU